This 539-nucleotide ribosomal RNA is filed under the name uncultured bacterium. RNAcentral describes it as "bacterial SSU rRNA". It matches the Rfam family "Bacterial small subunit ribosomal RNA", at positions 777 to 1315 of the family's 1533-position model. The record is from RNAcentral.
AAUAGAUACCCGGGUAGUCCAUGCCGUAAACGUUGGGAACUAGAUGUAGGGACCAUUCCACGGUUUCUGUGUCGCAGCUAACGCAUUAAGUUCCCCGCCUGGGGAGUACGGCCGCAAGGCUAAAACUCAAAGGAAUUGACGGGGGCCCGCACAAGCGGCGGAGCAUGCGGAUUAAUUCGAGGCAACGCGAAGAACCUUACCAAGGCUUGACAUAUACGGGAACGCCCUAGAAAUAGGGAACUCUUUGGACACUCGUAUACAGGUGGUGCAUGGUUGUCGUCAGCUCGUGUCGUGAGAUGUUGGGUUAAGUCCCGCAACGAGCGCAACCCUCGUUCUAUGUUGCCAGCACGUCAUGGUGGGAACUCAUAGGAGACUGCCGGGGUCAACUCGGAGGAAGGUGGGGAUGACGUCAAAUCAUCAUGCCCCUUAUGUCUUGGGCUUCACGCAUGCUACAAUGGCCGGUACAAAGGGCUGCAAUACCGCAAGGUGAGCGAAUCCCAAAAAGCCGGUCUCAGUUCGGAUUGAGGUCUGCAACUCGA